AAUAUAUGACGCCGUUGACUUUUUGUCCAACGUUUGACCAUUCGUCUUAUUCAAAAAAUUUAUGUAAUUAACAUUUAUUUUAUUAUGACUUAAUUCAUCAUCAAAUGUUUUUUGAGCAUGACAUAAAUAUUUUUCAUAUUUGCAUAAAAUUUUUGAAUGAAACGAAUGGUUAAACGUUGGUUGAAAAGUCAACGGCGUCAUACAUU
RNAcentral lists this microRNA precursor (206 nucleotides) under Oryza glumipatula. Its description in RNAcentral is "MIR812 microRNA precursor family". It matches the Rfam family "MIR812 microRNA precursor family". The record is from Rfam by way of RNAcentral. Lineage: Eukaryota; Viridiplantae; Streptophyta; Magnoliopsida; Poales; Poaceae.